GAUGAACGCUGGCGGCGUGCUUAACACAUGCAAGUCGAGCGAAGCACUUUUGCGGAUUUCUUCGGAUUGAAGCAACUGUGACUGAGCGGCGGACGGGUGAGUAACGCGUGGGUAACCUGCCUCAUACAGGGGGAUAACAGUUGGAAACGGCUGCUAAUACCGCAUAAGCGCACAGUACCGCAUGGUACCGUGUGAAAAACUCCGGUGGUAUGAGAUGGACCCGCGUCUGAUUAGCUAGUUGGUGGGGUAACGGCUUACCAAGGCGAUGAUGCAUAGCCGAGUUGAGAGACUGAUCGGCCACAAUGGAACUGAGACACGGUCCAU
RNAcentral lists this ribosomal RNA (324 nucleotides) under uncultured bacterium. RNAcentral's name for it is "bacterial SSU rRNA". It matches the Rfam family "Bacterial small subunit ribosomal RNA", at positions 28 to 334 of the family's 1533-position model. The record is from RNAcentral.